Molecule: long non-coding RNA, 1605 nt
Filed under: Androctonus crassicauda
Lineage: Eukaryota; Metazoa; Arthropoda; Arachnida; Scorpiones; Buthidae
Source: RNAcentral
AGGGGGGCUGGAUGGUGAAGGAUGGGGAUCGCCGGGCCGGGCCCAGCAUCUCGAAAAAACUUUUCAAGAGUUACUAGAUCCGAGACGCGAACCAGCUCCUCCUGCGUGGUACGCCGACAGUGUUACCAUUCGACCAUUCGGCCAUCCGGCCGCUCAGCUUCAUAAUCUGUAGACAAUAUUUUAAAACUGGCACUGCAAUUGCCAAUUUUAAAAUGACGUCUAUGAAGGAUAAUUUUGCAAUAAGAUGUCCACCGCCAUAAUGAGAUUUAGAUUUUUAUCAAUUUUUCGAUACGUUUCCAAAUCGAUUGAUUGGGAGGGAUGGUCAAAUAUCAUGGCUGUCACAUUCACCAAACAUAAACCCUCAUAAAAAAUCAAGAGGGAUAAUUAAGGACAAAGUGUAUUCGAUACCAGUUCUUGAUAUUGAAGUUUUGAAGGUAAGGAUAACUAAUGCUUUAACAACGGUUACUGACGAGAUGUUGGAGAAAACAUGGAGAGAAAUCGAGUAUCGACUAGACGUUCUCCGGAUAAUAAACGAAGAACAUGUUGAAGUGUUCUAGUAUAGAGAAAAUCUAUGGAAUAAUAUUAUUUAAUAAAAAACUAUUUGAGUAAAAGUUUUUUACUAGAGUUAGAGAUAAAAUAUACAAAAACUGUGCUAGCUACAAAUGUUUCAAAUUAGGGAAAGAUUUUAUGUUGAUCCUGUAUAUAUUAUAUAUGAAAUGAUAAAAAAUACGAACCGUUGUAUUGUUGCAAUUGUAGGCUAUGAAAGAAACACAUUAAAUUAUAUAUACUGUAUAUAAAUGAAAAUAUAUAGAAUAAUGAUAUGUUUCAUCGGGCUUUAUAAAUAGCUCACAGAUCACUGUUUCAGUAAUUUAAUUUCAGGACAGGAAAAAAAUAUGCGUACUUUUUCAAAUUGUAACAGAUCAUUUUAGUAGGAAUUAACAAAUCCAAAGAUUAGAUGACCUAUGCCAUGCAAUGCUAAAUUUUUAUCCUGAUUUUGAUGAAUAUUUUAUGGAUUUCAAUAAAACAGCCGAUCACAGCAGAAUUACGCAAAAAUGAUUUGAUAAAUAUCAAGAAAUUCCAUCAUCAUCUUUGCUUUCUCAUUCCUCUGAUCUUAAUUGUUUACAGAAUGUAUGGGAUAUGUUGGAAUCAAUUUUGUAAUAGCUUCAUGAUAUUUUACUUGAGCAAAAAUAGUCAACUUUCGACUAAAAUGCAUUGAAACAUCUUAUAAAGUCCAUGUUUCUCAUUAAUGGUUGUCAUUCGAACAGAGGCGGCUCUAUUUAAUAUUAAAGAAAUGUUAUUUUUGUAUUCUAUGCUAUUAUAUAUAUAAACUAAAUAUCUGAAUCAUGAUUUAAACUUUUAAGCGAAAAAUUGUCCCAAUUUCUCAGUAUUCUCCUAUUAAUAUAACUAUCUGUAUUAAAUAAUUGUAAAUUAUUAGUUUUUUACAUAUAAUUUCUAAUUUUAUGAUAUUCUUAAUCAUAAUUUUGUUAUAUAGUUCAGAUGGAUCUAGUAAUUUUCUCUGAUAUAAAAUAAAUAUAGGUUUGUAUAAGGUUACUGAGUAAAAUAUUUAAAUGGGCUUAAAAAAUGAACAUGUAAAUAAUAUUAUUA